CUACGGGAGGCACCAGUGGGGAAUUUUGGACAAUGGGCGCAAGCCUGAUCCAGCAAUGCCGCGUGCAGGAAGAAGGCCUUCGGGUUGUAAACUGCUUUUGUACGGAGCGAAAAGGCUCUCUCUAAUACAGGGGGCUCAUGACGGUACCGUAAGAAUAAGCACCGGCUAACUACGUGCCAGCAGCCGCGGUAAUACGUAGGGUGCAAGCGUUAAUCGGAAUUACUGGGCGUAAAGCGUGCGCAGGCGGUUUUGUAAGACAGGCGUGAAAUCCCCGGGCUCAACCUGGGAAUGGCGCUUGUGACUGCAAGGCUGGAGUGCGGCAGAGGGGGAUGGAAUUCCGCGUGUAGCAGUGAAAUGCGUAGAUAUGCGGAGGAACACCGAUGGCGAAGGCAAUCCCCUGGGCCUGCACUGACGCUCAUGCACGAAAGCGUGGGGAGCAAACAGGAUUAGAUACCCUCGUAGUC
RNAcentral lists this ribosomal RNA (464 nucleotides) under uncultured bacterium. RNAcentral's name for it is "partial 16S ribosomal RNA". It matches the Rfam family "Bacterial small subunit ribosomal RNA", at positions 339 to 795 of the family's 1533-position model. The record is from RNAcentral.